CCCGCUAAAUUUAAGCAUAUCAAUAAGCGGUGGAAAAGAAACGAAAACGAAUUCUCCGAGUAGCGGCGAGCGAAACGAGAGCAGUCCAUACACCGAAGUCGGCGAGCAGUUGUGUUCGUCAACAGUGUGGUGUUAAAGGUGUCGUUGCAUGUGCUGAAAUCAGUUCGUAGGCUCCCUUGAUUGGGGCUUCAGAGCGGGUGCAGGACCCAUAACGAACGAUGUUUUGUGCAUGGUGUCGCGGCUCCUAAUCGAGUCGGGUUGCUUGAGACUGCAGCCCAAAGCGGGUGGUAAAUCUCACCCAAGACUAAAUAUUCGUACGAGACCGAUAGCGAACAAGUACCGCGAGGGAAAGUUGAAAAGAACUCUGAAGAGAGAGUUCAACAGGACGUGAAACCGUUGACAGGCAAACGGAUGGAGCUGACGGUGCAAUUUUGACCAAAAUCAGUCGUCGCUGUGUUCGUUGGCGAAUGAAUCUUUUGCAAACUUGUUUGUGUAGAUUAUCUUUCGUUUCGAAUGUACGCACGGUGCACUUUUGGUCGAUUAGCGUCACGAGCAACGUUCGCAUUUUUUGCUGCCGACAGUAAUUGUGUUUGUUGUUUUAAAAGCAACAAACAAUAAAGGCGGUUUGUGGAAGAGGUAAUUGUGGUAAAGACUUGUGCUUUUGUCUCAAUUGCCGUGCCAAUGCCGCAUCUCUCGGAUGAAUGUUGUUGUUGACAAGUUGAAGAGCAUUGUUCUGCGUACAAUUGUAAUGGGUCUGUUGGUGCCGUUGCGUUCGUGGGUUUCGGCUCACGAUUUGUCUGGUACGUCGGGAAAAAAGUCAAUUAUGAAUGUAAUUGAUCUGACUACCGUGCGUAACGGUAUUCAAAUGUGUGUUUGAUGGACUUUAUUUGCAAUCGGCGCUCAAUGUGUUUUCUUUUAUCGGUGGCGUCAAUGUUAGCCUCCCAUCCGACCCGUCUUGAAACACGGACCAAGGAGUUCAGUAGGCACGCGAGUCGUUGACGUUUUUCAUUGAACAGUCGAAGGCGAAAUGAAAGUGUUCAUGAAAAUGAACAGUACUUUUUUAUGGAGUGCUGCUCGCUUUUAACAUGAUCGUCCUUUUUUGUGCUUAAUUGUGCAAAAUUGAUAUAUGGGGACGCGCAGUGUGGUGCCGUUGAAUACUCGCACUGUUCUUUCUUUCUCUUCGGGGUUGGAGGAACAAUUGUCGAUCAGUCGGUUUCGGAGCGUGCACACUGGUACCCGAAAGAUGGUGAACUAUGCUUGAGCAGAAUGAAGCCAGAGGAAACUCUGGUGGAAGUUCGUAGCGGUGUUGACGUGCAAAUCACUCGUCUGACUUGAGUGUAGGGGCGAAAGACUAAUCGAACCAUCUAGUUGCUGGUUCCUUCCGAAGUUUCCCUCAGGAUAGCUGGCAUUUGUUUGUAACAAUUUUAUCCGGUAGAGCGAAUGAUUAGAGGUGUUGGGAACGCAAUGUUCUCAGCCUAUUCUCAAACUUCGAAUGGGUAAGCAAGGCGUUUUGCUUUGAUUUUACGAUGAAAUCGCCCAAUUAGAAUGCAUAAAUGCCUAGUGGGCCAAUUUUGGUAAGCAGAACUGGCGAUGUGGAAUGAACCAAAAGUCAGGUUAAGGUGCCAGACAUUGGCGCUCAUGAAAUACCAGAAAAGGUGUUGGUCGAUAUAGACAGCAGGACGGUGGCCAUGGAAGUUGGAAUCCGCCAAGGAGUGUGUAACAACUCACCUGCCGAAUCGACUAGCCCUGAAAAUGGAUAGCGUUUGAGCGCCAGGCCCAUACCUGACCGUCUCAAUUACGCACUUUUUUUUCGGAAAAGGUGUAAUGAACGUUGAGACGGGUAGGAAGGUCGCGACAGUGUUGCUUUGAAGAGUUUUGAGCGUGAGCUCGCUCGGAGCCGCUGUUGGUGCAGAUCUUGGUGGUAGUAGCAAAUAUUCAAGUGAGAACCUUGAAGGCUGAAGUGGAGCAAGGUUCCAUGUGAACAGCAGUUGGACAUGGGUCAGUCGAUCCUAAGAAAACGGCGAAAGCUUGUUCGAAUUUGCGACAUGAAUUGUAAGACUGUGUGUUUAUUGUGUGUGUGCAGUUGUCGUAUGUUUUCGAAAGGGAAUCCGGUUGAUAUUCCGGAACCGAGUAACGGAGACAAAGAGUAGCGCUUUAAUCUCUCUGUGGGGUUGGCGUUCAACUCAAUCGCGCGGUAACGCAAGCGAACUCGGAAAAUGACCGUCGUGAGUUUCGAAAAGAGUUUUCUUUUCUUUUUAAGGGACGCAUUCCCUGGAACCGGGUUGUCCGGAGAUAGGGAUUCUGGUAUCCAUAAAACGCCGACUUUUUCACGGUGUUCGGAGCGCUCUCGUCGGUACGUGAAAAUCCGAGCGACGCCUGGUAAAUCUCGUACUUGGUCGUACUGAUAUCCGCAGCAGGUCUCCAAGGUGAAUAGCCUCUGGCC
Trichinella murrelli is the source of this 2443-nucleotide ribosomal RNA. It matches the Rfam family "Eukaryotic large subunit ribosomal RNA", at positions 24 to 1888 of the family's 3401-position model. The record is from Rfam. Lineage: Eukaryota; Metazoa; Nematoda; Enoplea; Trichinellida; Trichinellidae.